AAUCAACGCUGGCGGCGUGCCUCAGACAUGCAAGUCGAACGCGAAAGUCCCCUUCGGGGGAUAAGUAGAGUGGCGCACGGGUGAGUAACACGUAGGUAAUCUACCUUCGGGUGGGGAAUAACAACCGGAAACGGUUGCUAAUACCGCAUAAUGCAGCGGCACCUAAUGGUGACAGUUGUUAAAGCGGGGGAUCGCAGGACCUCGCGCCUGAAGAGGAGCCUGCGGCAGAUUAGCAGUUGGUGAGGUAAUGGCUCACCAAGGCUUCGAUCUGUAGCUGGUCUGAGAGGACGGCCAGCCACACUGGCACUGACACACGGGCCAGACUCCUACGGGAGGCAGCAGUGGGGAAUUUUUCGCAAUGGGGCAACCCUGACGAAGCAACGCCGCGUGGGGGAUGAAGGUCUUCGGAUUGUAAACCCCUGUCGACUGGGACGAAUGUAGAGCGGCCUAAUACGCCGAGCUAUUGAC
Molecule: ribosomal RNA, 468 nt
Filed under: uncultured bacterium
Lineage: Bacteria
Description: bacterial SSU rRNA
Rfam family: Bacterial small subunit ribosomal RNA
Source: RNAcentral